RNAcentral lists this ribosomal RNA (217 nucleotides) under uncultured bacterium. RNAcentral describes it as "partial 16S ribosomal RNA". It matches the Rfam family "Bacterial small subunit ribosomal RNA", at positions 118 to 334 of the family's 1533-position model. The record is from RNAcentral.
UCGGAACGUGCCUUAUAGUGGGGGAUAACUCAUCGAAAGAUGAGCUAAUACCGCAUAAGCUCUGAGGAGGAAAGCUGGGGAUUAAGUAAUUAACCUGGCGCUAUUAGAGCGGCCGAUGCUCGAUUAGCUAGUUGGUGGGGUAAAGGCUUACCAAGGCAAUGAUCGAUAGCUGUUCUUAGAGGAAGAUCAGCCACACUGGGACUGAGACACGGCCCAG